This 439-nucleotide long non-coding RNA is filed under the name Nicotiana benthamiana. Its description in RNAcentral is "long non-coding RNA (NBEN_LNC037735)". The record is from RNAcentral. Lineage: Eukaryota; Viridiplantae; Streptophyta; Magnoliopsida; Solanales; Solanaceae.
UUUGUCCUAUAUUGACUCUGGAAGGUGUAUUUGUUUCCUGGUAUGUUUUUUGGCCAUUCUUACUUAUGAGUUAGUUUUUCGAAUUAAAUUAAAUUUAAUUAUGUAUAUCUUUUAUUACGAUGUCAGAGCAAAAUCAUACCAAUUCUUGAUUUAUCUGAAAAAGAGGAAUAUUCAACAUUCAUUAAGUUUCUUUAAUUUGGAAGAAGUGAUGUCUUUUGUAUGUAUUUGAUUAGACACAAAGGGUAACCUCUACCUAUCUCUAACCUCUUCGCCGACAGUAAGAAGGUCCCCCACCGUCAUCUUCAGUUCCCACGGCCGCCUCAAUCUUCCACUCCAAUUAAUCUUAUUUUCACUUAUAAUAAGCCACUGUGAGAAUGAUUAGAUGAUUAAAGCUGAUUUCAUCACUUUGUCCCCAAAGCCUCCCCCAGGAAAUGAAGGC